CAGCACCUCAAGUGGUCAGGAUGAUAUUGGGCCUAAAGCAUCCGUAGCCGGCGCUGUAAGUUUUCGGUUAAAUCUGUACGCUCAACGUACAGGCUGCCGGGAAUACUGCAGCGCUAGGGAGUGGGAGAGGUAGACGGUACUCGGUAGGAAGGGGUAAAAUCCUUUGAUCUAUUGAUGACCACCUGUGGCGAAGGCGGUCUACCAGAACACGUCCGACGGUGAGGGAUGAAAGCUGGGGGAGCAAACCGGAUUAGAUACCCGAGUAGUCC
This 269-nucleotide ribosomal RNA is filed under the name uncultured archaeon. RNAcentral describes it as "partial 16S ribosomal RNA". It matches the Rfam family "Archaeal small subunit ribosomal RNA", at positions 477 to 747 of the family's 1478-position model. The record is from RNAcentral.